This 71-nucleotide transfer RNA is filed under the name Anolis distichus (bark anole). RNAcentral describes it as "tRNA-Ile". It matches the Rfam family "tRNA". From Rfam's summary of the family: Transfer RNA (tRNA) molecules are approximately 80 nucleotides in length. Their secondary structure includes four short double-helical elements and three loops (D, anti-codon, and T loops). The record is from RNAcentral. Lineage: Eukaryota; Metazoa; Chordata; Lepidosauria; Squamata; Anolidae.
GGAAACGUGCCUGAAUUCCAAAGGGUAACUUUGAUAGAGUUAACAAUGGAGGUUAAAACCCUCCCGAUUCC